GACGGGGGGGGCAAGUGUUCUUCGGAAUUACUGGGCGUAAAGCGUGCGCAGGCGGUUAUGCAAGACAGAUGUGAAAUCCCCGGGCUUAACCUGGGAACUGCAUUUGUGACUGCAUAGCUAGAGUACGGUAGAGGGGGAUGGAAUUCCGCGUGUAGCAGUGAAAUGCGUAGAUAUGCGGAGGGACACCGAUGGCGAAGGCAGUCCCCUGGACCUGUACUGACGCUCAUGCACGAAAGCGUGGGGAGCAAACAGG
This 253-nucleotide ribosomal RNA is filed under the name uncultured bacterium. RNAcentral's name for it is "partial 16S ribosomal RNA". It matches the Rfam family "Bacterial small subunit ribosomal RNA", at positions 524 to 776 of the family's 1533-position model. The record is from RNAcentral.